GAGUUUGAUCAUGGCUCAGAUUGAACGCUGGCGGCAUGCUUUACACAUGCAAGUCGAACGGCAGCGCGGGGCAACCUGGCGGCGAGUGGCGAACGGGUGAGUAAUAUAUCGGAACGUACCCAAGAGUGGGGGGAUAACGUAGCGAAAGUUACGCUAAUACCGCAUACGAUCUAAGGAUGAAAGUGGGGGAUCGCAAGACCUCAUGCUCCUGGAGCGGCCGAUAUCUGAUUAGCUAGUUGGUGAGGUAAAGGCUCACCAAGGCGACGAUCAGUAGCUGGUCUGAGAGGACGACCAGCCACACUGGAACUGAGACACGGUCCAGACUCCGUACGGGAGGCAGCAGGUGGGGUAAUUUUGGACAAGUGGGCGCAAGCCUGAUCCAGCAAUGCCGCGUGAGUGAAG
RNAcentral lists this ribosomal RNA (402 nucleotides) under uncultured microorganism. RNAcentral describes it as "bacterial SSU rRNA". It matches the Rfam family "Bacterial small subunit ribosomal RNA", at positions 9 to 410 of the family's 1533-position model. The record is from RNAcentral.